This 445-nucleotide ribosomal RNA is filed under the name uncultured bacterium. RNAcentral's name for it is "bacterial SSU rRNA". It matches the Rfam family "Bacterial small subunit ribosomal RNA", at positions 330 to 792 of the family's 1533-position model. The record is from RNAcentral.
ACCAGACUCCUACGGGAGGCAGCAGUGGGGGAUAUUGCACAAUGGGGGGAACCCUGAUGCAGCGACGCCGCGUGGGUGAAGAAGCGCCUCGGCGCGUAAAGCCCUGUCAGCAGGGAAGAAAAUGACGGUACCUGAAGAAGAAGCCCCGGCUAACUACGUGCCAGCAGCCGCGGUACUACGUAGGGGGCAAGCGUUAUCCGGAUUUACUGGGUGUAAAGGGGGCGCAGACGGCGAUGCAAGCCAGGAGUGAAAGCCCGGGGCCCAACCCCGGGACUGCUCUUGGAACUGCGUGGCUGGAGUGCAGGAGGGGCAGGCGGAAUUCCUGGUGUAGCGGUGAAAUGCGUAGAUAUCAGGAGGAACACCGGUGGCGGAGGCGGCCUGCUGGACUGCAACUGACGUUGAGGCCCGAAAGCGUGGGGAGCAAACAGGAUUAGAUACCCCAGUA